UAUACUACCCUAGCUGUGUUGCCUUUCUAACCCGCACCACUUAUCGUGGAGGGACACCCCCUCAGGCGGGGCCCUUGACUGGCGGGCUCCCCUCCCAAUAAGUGACGGAGGCUCUCAAAGGUUCCCUCCUAAUGGUUGAAACCCCCUCCUACACCGUGUAGGCAUACGGGAGCUUGACUGAGGACCCUACAAAUCCAGCA
This 200-nucleotide ribosomal RNA is filed under the name Staphylococcus haemolyticus. RNAcentral describes it as "partial 23S rRNA". It matches the Rfam family "Bacterial large subunit ribosomal RNA", at positions 2196 to 2395 of the family's 2925-position model. Lineage: Bacteria; Bacillati; Bacillota; Bacilli; Caryophanales; Staphylococcaceae. The record is from RNAcentral.